Molecule: long non-coding RNA, 1022 nt
Filed under: Vulpes vulpes (red fox)
Lineage: Eukaryota; Metazoa; Chordata; Mammalia; Carnivora; Canidae
Description: lncRNA (ENSVVUG00000019772.1)
Source: RNAcentral
CCGCCCCCUCCAGGCCGGCGGGAACCCCAACCUGGCCGGUCCUCGCGGGGACACAGGUGUCCUGGGCAUCUCGGAAGCUGCCAGGCCGCCCCGCCUGCGGCCUUUGGGGGGGGGGGGGGCAGGGGCUUCCCAGACGAUUUCCAAGACGUGAAUAAUUCAUCAAUCCCAGACGGGAAAGAAACAUUUUUUAAAAGACGAAAACGAUCCAAUGGGCCUCAGAGACCCCUACGCAAUUGGCAAAGGCUGUUUUCGGAUUGAGCCCCCAGAGAACAGGCUGCCUCCACCUUGGUGUCCACGACCCGACGUCCCAGAACUUUCCGCAGGCUCCACUGCCACCCACCAAAUCGAGGGACUGCUUAAAGGGGAGGGGGACUCAGACACCCUCUCUAAUUCCCUUCCGGAUCUUCUGGGGAGCCCCCCCCCACAUCCCUCACCGCUCAGCGUCCCAGAGCAAGAGGAAGCUGGACGUUUGUCUUUCUGUCCGGUUCUUCCUGGGUCCUUCACAGCGCCAGCAACCCUACCUCCACCGAGUGGCCCAGCAUCACCACCUGCAGACGUCUACUUGGUCACUGGAGAGCACGGGGCUGUGCACAGGUUGCUCCAUCCUAGGUCCCCUGGGGAGGCCUCGGCAUCAACAGGCACCAGGAAGAUGCUAACUGGCCGCAUCCCUACCCGUCUGUACCUCCCCACCCCUGGGCUCUGGCUGUGGACCCAGGCUCACCCCUUCCCUCCCGACCCCCCACUCCCCAGAAUGCUCUGUUUUGACUCCCUUCCCAGUGCAGAGACAUUCCUUCAGUAAUCCGGGAGUGCUCCUGUGCUAAUGCACGUAAAUUGUAAUUAAUUUCUCUCUAAUUGAUGCGUGGGACUACCUAGGCCCUUCAUUUUCUUCCCUUCAAACCUUUAUAAAUAUAUGAUUUGACAGGUUAAUUUGAAAGCAAAAGUUAGAUUCUUUACAGCCAUCUAAGCAGAAGCCCCAGAACGCAAUUUGCUGUCUAGUUGUGUGAAGCAUAAUAAAAGGGUUG